UUUAGCAUUGGGAUUAUUCUUGAUAAUGCCAUUACCCACAGCAUGCAACAGGUGAGUUUUACCCAAACCUGUACCGCCAUA
This 81-nucleotide antisense RNA is filed under the name Shewanella hanedai. RNAcentral's name for it is "antisense RNA of dnaA mRNA". It matches the Rfam family "antisense RNA of dnaA mRNA". The record is from RNAcentral. Lineage: Bacteria; Pseudomonadati; Pseudomonadota; Gammaproteobacteria; Alteromonadales; Shewanellaceae.